AGGGAUGUAGCUCAGUGGUAGAGUGCUUGCUAACGUGCACAAGUCCCUGGAUUCAAUACCCAGUGCCUCAA
This 71-nucleotide transfer RNA is filed under the name Marmota monax (woodchuck). RNAcentral's name for it is "tRNA.Undet". The record is from RNAcentral. Lineage: Eukaryota; Metazoa; Chordata; Mammalia; Rodentia; Sciuridae.